GACGAACGCUGGCGGCGUGCUUAACACAUGCAAGUCGAACGGAAAGGCCCUGCUUUUGUGGGGUGCUCGAGCGGCGAACGGGUGAGUAACACGUGAGUAACCUGCCCUUGACUUUGGGAUAACUUCAGGAAACUGGGGCUAAUACCGGAUAGGAGCUCCUGCUGCAUGGUGGGGGUUGGAAAGUUUCGGCGGUUGGGGAUGGACUCGCGGCUUAUCAGCUUGUUGGUGGGGUAGUGGCUUACCAAGGCGUUGACGGGUAGCCGGCCUGAGAGGGUGACCGGCCACAUUGGGACUGAGAUACGGCCCAGACUCCUACGGGAGGCAGCAGUGGGGAAUAUUGCACAAUGGGCGGAAGCCUGAUGCAGCAACGCCGCGUGCGGGAUGACGGCCUUCGGGUUGUAAACCGCUUUCGCCUGUGACGAAGCGUGAGUGACGGUAAUGGGUAAAGAAGCACCGGCUAACUACGUG
RNAcentral lists this ribosomal RNA (468 nucleotides) under uncultured bacterium. Its description in RNAcentral is "partial 16S ribosomal RNA". It matches the Rfam family "Bacterial small subunit ribosomal RNA", at positions 28 to 507 of the family's 1533-position model. The record is from RNAcentral.